AAUUUAUUUAGCCAUUAUGCUGGCAUGCAACUGAGUUUGCUUCUAGGCAGAUUGCAUGGAGGUGAUUGAAACUAUGAACAAUGGAGGAAGAACAUAUAUCGGCAACUGUAAUAUUUGAUGAAUGUGCAAACUUGGCUAACGACCAUGUGAAGGCAACAUUUGUUUUUUGUUCUAGAGGCAAAUAAGAUACUCUCUCCGGUCCAAAUAAUUGCCGCAGGCUCGCAGCUCUAGGACAACUUGAUCGGUUGGAUCGCGAAGAUGUUCGACUACAUCAACCGCGUUACUUAACGCUUCCGCUUUCGGUCUACGAGGGUACAUGGACACACUCUCCCUCUCAUUGCUAUGCAUCUCCUAGAUAGAUCUUGCGUGAUCGUAGGAAUUUUUUUGAAAUUACCGUGUUUCCCAACAUGAUGGAUUAAGUAUCAUGUUGGAGGCGAGGGAGUAGUUUGCUAUGUGAGAGCGGGGACAUUUGUGUCCGUCCUGGUAGUUUUCCUUUUUUUUCUUUGCUUUAACCUAUGUAUAUAUGUUUUGUUUCCCCAUUAUUAAUGAAAAAGCAGAUCAUGUGCUAAUUCAUCAUAGGAAAAUUUAUGGAGUGGAAGGGAGUACGGUCUCCUUCCUAGCCCUAAUCUUGUUGUACUCUUGGACUGUAGACUAGUAUGAAAUGAAGUGGCUACGAUGUUUUCACAUGUCAUGAUAGUACAAAGUUGAGAAAGAAAAAAGCAAUGAAAGGAUUUAUUAUGUACGAUAUUUGUUAUCACUUUAGCUCAAUGCUCUCACUCACGGAUGGUUCUCAUCUUCAUAUGUUGUUGCUUACAAUUAUAUCGACAUAUCAAUUAGGAAAACAAUACUUUCCCAUGGUGUGGAACGAGCCCUCUAGCAAUGAAGAAAUAGCUCUCACAAACUGUGAGACUAGUGUGUUCCAUCAUGCCUCCCACACGGUGGCUCGUGAGAGAAACCCUAAACUAAACUCCAUCUUUGUUGUGUUAAGAAGUAUUUAAUGUUCAACUCAUCGAAACAAUAAUGAACAUCAGAUUUAAGAAAAUGGAAAUGAACAAAAACAAUAAAGGCCGAUUGUACUUCAAUCAAUGAAGCAAUAAAGCCGUAUAGUAGUUCCAAGAAAGGAUUGAAUGGGCAUUUGGUAUUUAUUACUUAAGCUAGACCUAUAGGGGGCGGGGACUUUGACCCUUGAGAUUCAUAAAACAGAGGAUUUGAAAGAAGAAGAAAUAGGGUCGUAAUGCUGUGACCUCUUGAAUCCUAUAGGAUUGGAAAACUACAUGAGCUUACAUCACAAAUUCAAUGAUUUAAAAGUACAGGGAUGGAAGGUUGCAUGCAAUAUUUUUCGAACGACUUUUGCCAAUGUUAGAGAAUGAUUUAGUGGAGCAGGUAUCAACAUAGGGAAAUUCUGGUGUGUUACCGGAAGGGUGGAACAACAAUGGUAAGGAUGAUUCCAAAGGUACAAUCGCCACAAAAGAUCUUGCGAUUAUGACUGAGUUUAUGCAAUGUCAUCUAUAAGAUUAUACCUAAAAUGUUGGUGUCAAGAAUCAAAAUGUUAUUGCCAAAGAUUAUUAGUCCAACACAACGUGCAUUUGUGUCGGGAUGCUAAUCACACACAAUGCAAGACCGGAAUAUGAAAGCUUUCACACAAUUAAAAACUAAAUAGAUCGAAAGAAUGAGCUAUGUGCCAUCAUCUUGGAUAUGCAUAAAGCUGAUGACCACACAAAUGGUUUCUUUUUUUAGAGAAAAUCAUGCCGAGACUAGGUUUUGUGCCUUAAUGGGUCAAGAUGAUAAUCUCAUGUGUUACCACAGUUGAGUACCAACUCAAGUUUAAUUCGCAAGAAAGGCAGACCAUCAAAUCUAGUAGGGAACUAUGACAAGAGACCCCUAAUCUCCCUACCGUUUUUAUUCUUUUUGCUGAAGGUUUAGCAAGUCCAUUCACUCAUGCUGGAGAUGCAAGAAAACACUAGCUAUUGUGCCAAGGUAUGCCGGGAGGCCCUCAAAUUUCGAAUUUACUAUAUGCAGAUGAUUCGCUAUCCUAAUGAAAGCACAUGUGCAAAAUGCAACAUCUCUAUGCACAUUCCUUGAUGACUAUUGCACUACAUUAGGUCAAAUGGGGCUGAAAGGUGUGACUAUUUCAAUAUGUAGUGGAGAGAGUUUGCAAAAGAAUCAAUGGGUGGAAAGAAAAGGUUGUAUUUAAGUGGAAAAGAGGUGCUUCUCAAUGUGGUGGCACAAGCUAUCCCUUCAUAUGUGAUGUUGGUCUUCAAAAUCCCUAUAAUAUAUGUAAGGGAAUUACUGGUUUGAUGUCACAUCGUUGUUGGGGUGACAAGGAAAAUCAAAAGAGAAUGCAUUGCUUUGCUUGGAUGAAGACGUGUGUACCAAAGAAGAAGGGUGCAAUGAAAUUUAGAGAUAUACACUACUUCAAUCUUGCGAUGUUAGGAAAAUGAAGCAUGUAGGUUGAUUUCAUAUCCUGACUCACUUUGUACCAGAGCGUUAAAAGCAAGCUAUUAUCCGAAUGAGGAUCUUUUGCAACUCAACUGAAGGGCUCAUCCUUCACUUGGCAAAGUACCAUUACCAUGGUGGGAGUUCAGACUUUCAAAAAGCGGUGCAUAUGUAGAGUAGAAGAUGCAUGGCUUAAAAACUAAAAUUGUGGAUACUUAUCGGGUUUUUUUUAAAGGAGGAUUUCCAAUGGCCUCUGCAUCAGAUGAUCCACAUAGACAUAAUUAGAAACCCAACGGUGGUACAAGAUGUGUGACAACUCGUAAAGAACAAUCGAUCAUUAACAUCACUCAUGUUAAUGAUUUGAGCAACGGAAAUCCAACUCGGUACCCAGACUCAUAUGCUCCCGCUCAGAAAAACAAAUCAACAUAAAUACUAAAAAAAUUCAAAAAAAAAAUCAAUUUUUUGGGUGGUAGAUAAUUUGAUGCGUGAGGUCCGCUAUAAAUUUCAACUCAUUUGGACAUUUUGGCAGCUCUCGGCAAAAAAGACAAAUCGAGUCAGAACAGUGCGUAAACAGUAAACAUUUCUAUAGACCCCGAUUUUGUCUUUUUUGCCGAGAGCUGCUCAGAUGUCUAAAUGAGUUGAAAUUUGGUGCAAACCUCACGCAUCAAAUUAUCUACCAUCCAAAAAAAAAUUGGAAUUUUUUGAAUUUUUUUUAGCAUUUGUUUUGAUUUUUUUUAGAGGGGGUGCUGAUGAGCCUGGGAGCAGAAACUCCGCGUCCAUUCUAGUAAACGGGUUGAGGAAUUGAUUCAAGAUCCUUUUUGGCCAAUUGCGGCAGACCACACAUUGAAACUCAAAUCAAUGAGAAUUCUGAAGAUUUUGUGGCAAGGCAAUACACAAAGUCUCUCUUGAUCAACAUAUUAUACCGAGUGGGAGCAUUAACAUGGGUGGAAGCUGAGUCGAACAUCUGGUCAUGGAGCAUUAAAUAUCACCCUCAAAUGUAGAAGCAAAUUUGGUUCAAACAUCGACAAGAACCGCAUUGGCCAUUGCCGCUCUAGCAGCAAAAUAUGAAAAAAAAAGAAUUAUGCUAACAAAUCAACAGAAAAUUUAGUCUUAGUUUGUCUAUGUUGAUGUGUCUAUAUGUUGGAUCCUUCUGAUCUACGCUUCUCUUCAUCGUCGGCGGUUGUAGUUCUGAUGCGCUGAUACUAUGAGGCCCUAGCAUGACAACUACGCUUCUCUUCAUCGUCGGCGGUUGUAGUUCUGAUGUUGUGAUACUAUGAGGCCCUAGCAGGAUAACUUCUCAACGUGUCUACUUCAACAAGUUUUCCCGGCUUCGAUGAGGAAGGGGCGAUGAUGGCGGUGCGCCUUUGACUCGUUUCAGUGAUUGUAGUCGUCGCUAGGUAGUCUAUGGCUCUAAAUGCAAUUUUAUUUAUUUCUGAUUUUCAUUGCACUACCAUGGUUGAUGAAUAGAUCGGAAGUUUCACGAAAAAAAAAAAUCAACAGUGAAGCACCAUGGUUGGAUGCCACCGCCUGCUGACACGGUGAAGGUCUCGUUGAUGCAUCCUUUGAUGCGGAUACCAUGUAGGGGGCGUGGGAAUGAUAACCAAAGACUCGAGAGGCAAUUUCACUGGCGUGUCGAGUAAAUUUCUUGAUCAGGUAUACGAUGUUGAUAUAGUAGAAACUUGUGCUUUUUUGCACUGAAUUUAUUUAGCCAUUAUGCUGGCAUGCAACUGAGUUUGCUUCUAGGCAGAUUGCAUGGAGGUGAUUGAAACUAUGAACAAUGGAGGAAGAACAUAUAUCAGCAACUGUAAUAUUUGAUGAUUGUGCAAACUUGGCUAACGACCAUGUGAAGCAGACAGGAGAAAUGCUAAACUGCUGGAACUACAUCUCCUGAUAUUCGUUGCUGACUUCUCGAGUUUGUCCAGAGAAAAGCCGUGGCGAUCUAGUAAUACUAA
Molecule: long non-coding RNA, 4388 nt
Filed under: Triticum aestivum (bread wheat)
Lineage: Eukaryota; Viridiplantae; Streptophyta; Magnoliopsida; Poales; Poaceae
Description: long non-coding RNA (TAES_LNC010828)
Source: RNAcentral